RNAcentral lists this non-coding RNA (689 nucleotides) under plant metagenome. Its description in RNAcentral is "partial contains small subunit ribosomal RNA and internal transcribed spacer 1". The stretch from base 152 to 432 matches the Rfam family "Group I catalytic intron". The record is from RNAcentral.
AAGUCGUAACAAGGUUUCCAUAGACAUAAGUUUCGGAGCAGAUCUCCCGGCUGGUCCGGGGUCUAAUCGCCUGGGGGUUUUCCCCCCAUCGAUUUUAACGAUCCUUCCGUAGAGACACUUAUAGAGGCCUUUGCCGCCCUGCAAUGGGUUACUACCACGACAGAAAAUAAUGGUAGGGCAAGUCAGAAAUGGCAACAUGAUCGAAUUGCGGGAAGCCUUAAAAGCCAGUGGUACUAACUGUGGCCAGAAAUAGUCACAGGGCCUAUGCUAAUUACAUAGGGAAGUAAAAAUCCACUUGGAUGUACAAUAGGUAAUCCGCAGCGAAGCCCCUAAGGCCCUUGGGGGCUAUGGGGAACGUUCACAGACUAAGUGAUUAUGGGCAUGAGAAGCAUGCUUAAGAUAUAGUCGGGGUCCUUGAAGGGAAACUCAGGGGUUAAAGUCCACUACAUUUUUUAGGGGAAUAAGUCGCAUACUGACAAGUAAAUCAUUCCCUAAAUAUAAAACCGUUCCGUAGGUGAACCUGCGGAAGGAUCAUUACAGAGUUCAUGCCCUUCGGGGUAGAUCUCCCACCCUUGUGUAUCAUUAUAGAAUGUUGCUUUGGCGGGCCUGGAUUCGCGUCGGCGUGCCCGCCAGAGGACCCUAAACUCUGAAUGUUAGUGUGCGUCCUGAGUACUAUUAAAUAGUUAAAA